RNAcentral lists this small RNA (28 nucleotides) under Bombyx mori (domestic silkworm). RNAcentral's name for it is "ovarian small RNA-2465". The record is from RNAcentral. Lineage: Eukaryota; Metazoa; Arthropoda; Insecta; Lepidoptera; Bombycidae.
AAGCUUAUCAUAUAGGACUGUCAAACGC